UACAGAGGCCCCAAGCAUUAUCCGGAUUCACUGGGCGUAAAGGGUGCGUAGGCGGUGUUAUUAGUCGGGUGUUAAAUCCUGGGGCUCAACCUCAGAAUCGCAUUCGAAACGGUAACACUAGAAGAAGUCAGAGGUAAACAGAACUCUCGGUGUAGGGGUGAAAUCCGUUGAUAUCGAGGGGAAUACCAAAUGCGAAGGCAGUUUACUGGGACUUUCUUGACGCUGAGGCACGAAAGCGUGGGUAGCGAAU
This 250-nucleotide ribosomal RNA is filed under the name uncultured bacterium. RNAcentral describes it as "partial 16S ribosomal RNA". It matches the Rfam family "Bacterial small subunit ribosomal RNA", at positions 524 to 773 of the family's 1533-position model. The record is from RNAcentral.